AACCGCGGUUAAACGAAUAGCCCUAGUUGAUAGCAUCACGGCGUAAAGGGUGGUUAAGGAAGAUAAAAAUAAAGUUAAAUGGCCCCCAGGCUGUCAUACGCUUCUAGGAGUCCGAAGCCCAAAUACGAAAGUUACUUUAAUAAAAUUCACCCGACCCCACGAAAGCUGAGAAA
RNAcentral lists this ribosomal RNA (173 nucleotides) under Rasbora tornieri. Its description in RNAcentral is "partial 12S rRNA". The record is from RNAcentral. Lineage: Eukaryota; Metazoa; Chordata; Actinopteri; Cypriniformes; Danionidae.